Molecule: long non-coding RNA, 547 nt
Organism: Esox lucius (northern pike)
Lineage: Eukaryota; Metazoa; Chordata; Actinopteri; Esociformes; Esocidae
Source: Ensembl
GUAUGUAUACAUACCAAGUCCAUUGACUCCGAUUCUUGCCUAAGUUUUACUUGUACUUUUGCCCAGUUAGCCGUUCUGACCACACUGCAUCCCUUGGAUUCCCCGUUUAGCCUGCCUCUCGGUACCUUCGCCUGUCUACUUGAUACCUGGUGUUCCAAACCUUCUGCCUAGCCUCUGGAUUUCCCCUUCUAGCCUUCUGAUUGGUCUUGUUUUCCUUCUUCCGGAUUACCUGUUUUUGUCCUGAGUUUUUUCCUGUUGAACUGUCUCAUAAUAAACUGAGGUGCUCCGAGCUUGGAUUCUCCACAAGGCCAAUAGCAUCCAGCUGCAGCCCAGGAGACACUGCUGGCUAAAACUCCACUGGCUAAAACUCAUACUUCCGUUUCGUCACUUCCAUUUCGUCAUUCCCUGACCAACUCCUCGAAAUUUCAAACUGUUGUCACAUGACUAACCUAGUUACGUUUGGACACCUCCGUAGUUGGUGGCUGACUUUCAAUGAAGGCAAGAGAGCCAGCCUACAUUCCCUACAGGGAGCUGGCUAGCAGGGAUA